RNAcentral lists this long non-coding RNA (1263 nucleotides) under Sarcophilus harrisii (Tasmanian devil). Its description in RNAcentral is "lncRNA (ENSSHAG00000028932.1)". Lineage: Eukaryota; Metazoa; Chordata; Mammalia; Dasyuromorphia; Dasyuridae. The record is from RNAcentral.
AUACUCCCUCUGUAACUGACAAGUCAUUUCUCAAGGGUCAGUCAGAACACCUGUUAAUCCAGGUUUCAGGUGAGACCAAAAAAGUGCCUCACACACUUCUGAUUCAUUCUCCUCUGCAUUGAAGCCAUGAAGUGGGUAAAGUUCUUUGCCUAUCUCACCUUCUUUCAUUCAGAAGUAAUAUCAGAUAUCCAGUUGGAACAAGACCAAACCCUGACUGCCCAUGUUGGAAGAACUAUCACCUUACAUUGCACCUUGAAAGGAGGGGACUUGAAAAGCCAUCAAAUGAGCUGGUACAAAAAAAAGUGGGAUAACUCCUUGAUUUUCAUAUAUCAGUUCAGUGAAAAAUAUGGUGAUGGUUUCCAGAAAAAUUUCUUAGGGAAUCUAGAUUCUGACAACUUCACACUUACAAUUCUCAAGGCAGCAGUAAAGGACUCAGGGACUUAUUACUGUGGUUCAGUUAUCCACAGUGUGGCAACUCUACUUCUGAGUCAUUCAUAAACCCAGGGGAUCUUAAGAGUAGGUGAUGACUUCAAUUAGAGCCUAUUUUUUACUGUAAUAUGCCAGACCUAAGAUGACAUCACCUGAUAUUUCAACAGAAGCCCAGGAAAUGCUUGAUAUAAGGCUCAGAAAAGAAUAGGGAGUGAUGGCCUUAUCUUCAUAAUUGGCUUUGUGGGUUGCUGCUUUUUUUUUCUUUUCUCAAGCCAGGGAUGAUCAUAAUAGAGAAGGCAGUUUAAGACUUUUUUAGAGUUAUUGAGGGCCCUCUGCACUUGCCUGUCUCAGAAUCCACUGAAUAAGGGCUUGAAACAAUGGCCUGUAAUUUUGCCUGAGAACCCUCCUUCUUACUCCUGGGGAUGACGAAGCGCCUGGGACAAAGAGAACUUCUAAUAUCCUGAAGGCCACCACUUGAUCCAGAGGCAACAGUGUGUACAAACCAGAUAAAAGAAAAUGGGCUAGAUUCCCAUUACUAUUCUAAUCAAACUUUCCCCAGCUACUGCCAUUUCUCAGCUCUUACCUCUGUAAGAAAAGAUAAAUGGUGUCAUUUUCUGGAGGCUUAGUUUCAAACAAAUAAAUGUGUUCCUUAAGAAAGUGAGAUAUUGAAUAAGCCAUUAAAAGUGGAUAACUUUCAUCCCAUCAUUUUUAUUAGUUCACCUUUUUGUGCUGCUGCCUAGGUCUCUGUCCUGGUGCCUGCUUUGCUCCCUAUUCCAUCCAUGAAGCUAAGUCAUGGAUACUUUUCCUUUGCCAGAUUUUUCCCAUGGAUAUGCC